RNAcentral lists this ribosomal RNA (268 nucleotides) under uncultured bacterium. RNAcentral describes it as "partial 16S ribosomal RNA". It matches the Rfam family "Bacterial small subunit ribosomal RNA", at positions 57 to 305 of the family's 1533-position model. The record is from RNAcentral.
GCAAGUCGAACGGUAUUUUUCAGAUGGAAGCUUCGGUGGAAAUUUGAAAGAGAGAGUGGCAAACGGGUGCGUAACACGUGAGCAACCUGCCCUAAAGACCGGAAUAGCUCGGGGAAACUCGAAUUAAUGCCGGAUGUGGCACGAAGAGGCAUCUCUUCAGUGCUAAAGCUCGAAAAGGCGCUUUAGGAGGGGCUCGCGGCCUAUCAGCUUGUUGGUGGGGUAAAGGCCUACCAAGGCAAAGACGGGUAGCUGGUCUGAGAGGAUGAUC